UGAUCCUGGCUCAGAUUGAACGCUGGCGGCAGGCCUAACACAUGCAAGUCGAACGGUAGCACAGAGGAGCUUGCUCCUUGGGUGACGAGUGGCGGACGGGUGAGUAAUGUCUGGGAAACUGCCCGAUGGAGGGGGAUAACUACUGGAAACGGUAGCUAAUACCGCAUAACGUCGCAAGACCAAAGAGGGGGACCUUCGGGCCUCUUGCCAUCGGAUGUGCCCAGAUGGGAUUAGCUAGUAGGUGGGGUAACGGCUCACCUAGGCGACGAUCCCUAGCUGGUCUGAGAGGAUGACCAGCCACACUGGAACUGAGACACGGUCCAGACUCCUACGGGAGGCAGCAGUGGGGAAUAUUGCACAAUGGGCGCAAGCCUGAUGCAGCCAUGCCGCGUGUAUGAAGAAGGCCUUCGGGUUGUAAAGUACUUUCAGCGAGGAGGAAGGCGUUGUGGUUAAUAACCGCAACGAUUGACGUUACUCGCAGAAGAAGCACCGGCUAACUCCGUGCCAGCCGCCGCGGUAAAAGGG
This 525-nucleotide ribosomal RNA is filed under the name uncultured Enterobacterales bacterium. Its description in RNAcentral is "bacterial SSU rRNA". It matches the Rfam family "Bacterial small subunit ribosomal RNA", at positions 14 to 528 of the family's 1533-position model. The record is from RNAcentral. Lineage: Bacteria; Pseudomonadati; Pseudomonadota; Gammaproteobacteria; Enterobacterales.